RNAcentral lists this ribosomal RNA (483 nucleotides) under uncultured bacterium. RNAcentral describes it as "partial 16S ribosomal RNA". It matches the Rfam family "Bacterial small subunit ribosomal RNA", at positions 28 to 507 of the family's 1533-position model. The record is from RNAcentral.
AUUGAACGCUGGCGGCAUGCUUUACACAUGCAAGUCGAACGGCAGCGCGGGCUUCGGCCUGGCGGCGAGUGGCGAACGGGUGAGUAAUGCAUCGGAACGUGCCCAGUAGUGGGGGUUAGCCGGGCGAAGGCGGAUUAAAUCCCCAUACCACCCUGAGGGUGAAACCGGGGGACGGAAAGCCUUCCUGCUUUGGUGGCGGCGAUGUCGGGUUAGCUUGUUGGUGGGGUAAAGGCUUACCAAGGCGACGAUCCGUAGCUGGUCUGAGAGGACGACCAGCCACACUGGGACUGAGACACGGCCCAGACUCCUACGGGAGGCAGCAGUGGGGAAUUUUGGACAAAGGGGGCAACCCUGAUCCAGCCAUGCCGCGUGCGGGAAGAAGGCCUUCGGGUUGUAAACCGCUUUUGUUCGGGAAGAAAUCCUCUGGGCUAAUACCCCGGGGGGAUGACGGUACCGGAAGAAUAAGCACCGGCUAACUACGUG